RNAcentral lists this long non-coding RNA (461 nucleotides) under Medicago truncatula (barrel medic). RNAcentral describes it as "lncRNA gene17620". The record is from RNAcentral. Lineage: Eukaryota; Viridiplantae; Streptophyta; Magnoliopsida; Fabales; Fabaceae.
UUUCAUAAGAUAUUUUCUAGAGAGAUGUAGAGAGAGAAAGUGGGAGAAGAGAAGAACAAGGGUUAGAGAGAAGAGGGAGAGCUUGAAGAAUUAAGGAUUGGAGUGAACUUAGGAGCUAAAUUGAAGCCUAAGUUGGGAUUAAUCUUCAUCUAAGUUCAUGAUACGUUGUGCAGGACUAGAUGCUUGAUGAGUUUUUGUGCUUGGUGGAUAUCGGGAGCUUUCUCCGAUAUAGGUGUUGAGUCGGUUCUGAUCUAGGCUUGUUGUGUCGGUCUAGAUUAGGUUAUCUUUGGAUUUUGUUAUGUUGGAGAUUACCCGUUUGUUUGGGAUUUUUGAGAUGCAUCUAUGUUGAUGUAAUUUAUUGAUUCAUGACAUGUACAUAUUUUGAUUACUCUGGUUUAUAUUCCGCUGCAACUGUUGAUGUUUAUAUACAUGUUUAUUGAUUUUUGAAUUUUGAAUGUGGU